RNAcentral lists this ribosomal RNA (254 nucleotides) under uncultured bacterium. Its description in RNAcentral is "partial 16S ribosomal RNA". It matches the Rfam family "Bacterial small subunit ribosomal RNA", at positions 524 to 776 of the family's 1533-position model. The record is from RNAcentral.
UACGUAGGGUGCAAGCGUUGUCCGGAAUUAUUGGGCGUAAAGAGCUCGUAGGCGGUUUGUCGCGUCUGCUGUGAAACCCGAGGCUCAACCUCGGGCCUGCAGUGGGUACGGGCAGACUAGAGUGGCGGUAGGGGAGAUUGGAAUUCCUGGUGGUAGCGGUGGAAUGCGCAGAUAUCAGGAGGAACACCAAUGGCGAAGGCAGAUCUCUGGGCCGUAACUGACGCUGAGGAGCGAAAGCAUGGGGAGCGAACAGG